Non-coding RNA from Danio rerio (zebrafish), 74 nucleotides. NCBI's taxonomy places the organism in Eukaryota, Metazoa, Chordata, Actinopteri, Cypriniformes, Danionidae. The record is from Rfam.
GUCCGGUUAACUCAGCUGUUUAGAGCGUGGUGCUAAUAACGCCAAGGCAGCGGUUUUGAUCCCCGUACUGGCCA